UAGGGAAUCUUCCACAAUGGGCGCAAGCCUGAUGGAGCAACACCGCGUGAGUGAAGAAGGGUUUCGACUCGUAAAGCUCUGUUGUUGGAGAAGAACGUGCGUGAGAGUAACUGUUCACGCAGUGACGGUAUCCAACCAGAAAGUCACGGCUAACUACGUGCC
RNAcentral lists this ribosomal RNA (162 nucleotides) under uncultured bacterium. RNAcentral describes it as "partial 16S ribosomal RNA". It matches the Rfam family "Bacterial small subunit ribosomal RNA", at positions 355 to 509 of the family's 1533-position model. The record is from RNAcentral.